RNAcentral lists this ribosomal RNA (330 nucleotides) under uncultured bacterium. Its description in RNAcentral is "bacterial SSU rRNA". It matches the Rfam family "Bacterial small subunit ribosomal RNA", at positions 568 to 898 of the family's 1533-position model. The record is from RNAcentral.
UGUGUAGGCGGUUGCUUAAGUUUGGUGUGAAAUCUCCCGGCUCAACUGGGAGGGUGCGCCGAAUACUGAGUGACUAGAGUGCGGGAGAGGAGAGUGGAAUUCCUGGUGCAGCGGUGAAAUGCGUAGAUAUCAGGAGGAACACCGGUGGUGUAGACGGCUCUCUGGACCGUAACUGACGCUGAGACACGAAAGCGUGGGUAGCAAACAGGAUUAGAUACCCUGGUAGUCCACGCCCUAAACGAUGCGUAUUUGGUGUGGGCAGUUCAGUCUGUCCGUGCCGGAGCUAACGCGUUAAAUAUGCCGCCUGGGGAGUACAGUCGCAAGGCUGAA